AGGCGACAUAGCCAAGUGGUAAGGCAUGAGCCUGCAAAGCUUUGAUCCCCGGUUCGAAUCCGGGUGUCGCCUCCAA
Molecule: transfer RNA, 76 nt
Filed under: Campylobacter rectus RM3267
Lineage: Bacteria; Pseudomonadati; Campylobacterota; Epsilonproteobacteria; Campylobacterales; Campylobacteraceae
Also listed under: 1 other name
Description: tRNA-Cys
Rfam family: tRNA
About the family: Transfer RNA (tRNA) molecules are approximately 80 nucleotides in length. Their secondary structure includes four short double-helical elements and three loops (D, anti-codon, and T loops).
Source: RNAcentral